RNAcentral lists this long non-coding RNA (727 nucleotides) under Oryza sativa Indica Group (long-grained rice). RNAcentral's name for it is "lncRNA OsZS97_11G000620". Lineage: Eukaryota; Viridiplantae; Streptophyta; Magnoliopsida; Poales; Poaceae. The record is from RNAcentral.
AUGCUCUUUUACUUAAUUAUUUGCAGGUUGAUAAUAGAAGAGAAACAACCUGAGAUCUUGGAAUUGCCUGGCGGAGGGAUACAAGUGCAUCAGGAGAUAGACGCUGCGGUUGCAGAGCUGAUAGAACAAGAAGCCCUUGAUGAAUUAGAGCAACUGGUGAAAGCCCAACCAGAAGCCGCUGCAGAUCAGCAAAAUCCAGUUGAGCCACAUCAAGAUGAGGAUGACAAGCUGAGUUUGGAUAAUUUGUUGGAACAACAUCGUUGGGAGGGAGCUCUGCGGCGGCUGACGCGCAUGGUCCGUAAUGGAGAUACCGGAAGUGCCUUUGUCAACGGUGGUGUUUUGAAAGAAAUCCGGGAUUGGGUUAAUGCAAAGAGAGAUACUCCAUUGGGAGAAGAUGAAGCUACGACCCAUAUGGAGAACACCUGCCAUGCGAUCCAUGACUAUUUGAAGCUUUAUUUCCCGGCAUACAGGCCACAAAUUGGGGGAAAGGUUAGAGGUCACCAAGUAAGCAGGGUCUGGGAGCUUGGGGAGAGGCUUGGAAAAGAUGACGGCCGCUGCUUAGCGUGCCACAAGAGAGUUAAGGGGUUCAAUGUGACCAAACUCCAGAAUCACCUGCAAGGAUCGGUUAAAAGGCAAGGAAUACAAUGCCCGGCAAUCAACAACUACAUCCUGAGCAGGCUCGAACGGAUUUUGAAAGAAAUGAACGAAGAUCAAUAAGAACAAAUUA